This is a long non-coding RNA of Hemicordylus capensis (graceful crag lizard), 750 nucleotides long. RefSeq lists it as uncharacterized. Lineage: Eukaryota; Metazoa; Chordata; Lepidosauria; Squamata; Cordylidae. The transcript has 3 exons. The record is from RefSeq and is a predicted model, not a curated record.
CACCAAGCCCCGCCCCUUGCGUCUGACGUCAGCGCAGGGGCAAGGCCAAUACUGGGGAAGGGGCUUCUAGCCCCUCAGCACCUCCCAGUCAGUGAUUAGUUGAGAGCUGCUUUCCGUCCUUGCUUCCCAUGGAGUGGGUAUUCCAGGCUGCGAUGGCAAGGAAGGACACACAGCCUUCAAACCACUAUUUCUCAAAAAUUAGGACUACACAAGCACUCUGAACAAGCAUACAAUUUCUCUCCCUUCAAAACAAAACAAAACCUUAUGGGACUCCUCCAGAAGUCCUCAGGCUGAGAGGCAGAAUCAGUAACUUCUCCCCAAACUUGAUCAGAGCGAGAUGCUUCCAGGAUGCGAAGCCAUUACACAUGGGAAUCGGUCAUUCCAUCUCUGUAGUGGGCAGCAGCGGUUUGCACUCCAUGCAGAGUCUUCUGAGACCUGUGCAGGACUCUGUUUAUGUGCAGGGUGGGACACAGUGCAUUGAGAGAAUGUGUAGAAAGACUGUACACUUUGCAGAUGCCUGUCCGUGAGGAAGCUAUGGUGAAAAAAAACUGGUACCUACGCAGUUUUCAAGGACUACUCUUAUGCAUUUUGGAACUCUGGAAAUCUGAACAUAUCCACCUCAGUCAGCUGCUCAAGGCUUCGAACUUGGAAUUCAUCUAUCUUAGUCAGCUGCUCUGCUUCCUGGAUCUAGAAUGUGUGCACCUAUAACUCUUCAUUUCUUCAGGUUUAUUAUCAAAGACAUUAACGAUA